CGCUGUAGCGUGCAGCCUACACCCGGCCGUCUCGACAAUUUCUCUCGCCUCUCUUUGUGUAAGGCAGGGACCGACCGAAGUCGAGACGAGUAGGAGGGUCGCCGCGGUCAGCGCUGAAGCCUUAGACGCGAGUCUGGGUGUAGCGGCCGCGGGUGCCGAUCUUGGUGGUAGUAGCAAAUAUUCG
RNAcentral lists this ribosomal RNA (184 nucleotides) under Eulepetopsis vitrea. Its description in RNAcentral is "partial 28S ribosomal RNA". It matches the Rfam family "Eukaryotic large subunit ribosomal RNA", at positions 1326 to 1473 of the family's 3401-position model. Lineage: Eukaryota; Metazoa; Mollusca; Gastropoda; Neolepetopsidae. The record is from RNAcentral.